ACACCUGUCUGCCCAACAAAGUCAGGGAUCAGAGGUCAUGGCGGACAAGUUUAAACAUGUUCCCUGAUCCUUUAAAUAACUAAGCUUUUCCAGAUUUCAUGAGUAGUUCCUGAUGUUCUCUCUAGAGGAAGAACCUGUGAAUCCUUGAACUGGAUCCUCAGAGGCUCAGACUGGAUUUACUGUAAAAUUUCAGAAAGCAAAUCUUUUUGGGGGAUAUGUAAAAAAAUGUCUCUUGCAGGGUGGGCCUCCAGCAUGUUAACCAACAUUAUGUACCAUUACAUAAACAAAGAUAAAGUACCACAGCAGUAGUACUACAGUACUACAACAUCUAUGUAAACGUUUCACAAUAAAGAGAGAGAACAUCAUCUAAAAAUAAAGUCACAUGAUGUGGAAGCAUUUAAAGAAAACAUAAUUUUUCUAUGAAAAUAUUAAUAUUAAAUAUGAAAGUUAUCUGGCUAAUCGAACCAUCCUGAGGUGACUAUAAAUAAAAUCUGUUGAUUUAGCUGUGAUCGGACCUGAACCAGGAUGGAGAUCUGUCACUUAAAACUAACUUCAGCAUGGUUUCCUUUUUGCUUUUCACAGUGCUGAUGUGGAGGUUCUAAGAAAAGCAACAAUUUUUGUGUUUUUUUUAAUGUUCCUCAUACAUAUGACAUAUGUAUAUAUGUCGAUGGUUCCUCAGCAAUUCACUUUUCUGCUCAACUUAAGGGGUGGUCACAAUCUUUCAACAAUUAAAGAGAUAUUGUUUGGAUGUGGAUCGUUUGUGCUCUGCUUUGAUUGGGCAAUACUAUGUCAUUGAAUAUAUAUGUGUUGUUUACCGUGAUUAUUGGGGAGACAUCUGUAUGGUUAAUGGAUGCGUCCCCUUGGGAUCUCUGCCUAUGUGUUUCAUGUUUCUCCUGACAGAUUGUGAUCUUGUCUGGACCAAUGUUUUAAGCCUGUCUGACUGAGGGGGUCCGGAGAAGCUGAAUGAUGCUGGCGGCAGGUGGAAGCUCCUCCUCAGCCCUCCAGUUCCGCGGGGGAGCAGUGGCACUGCCGGUAAACCCAGCUGAUGUUCCGGCUCUGGAGAUAAAACUGGGAGCUCUGGUGGUUCUGCUGUCCAUCACUCUGGUGUUUGGAUUUGCUCCACUCUGCAUCGUCCGAGGGACGGGGUGCUGCAGCAUCAACUCAGACAACUACACUGACCUGUGCCAACAGAGGGAGGCUUUCAUAAAGGGUGAGGACAUCUGGAAAAGAGAGGAAGACAGGGGAGGAAAGAGGAAGAUAAAGCCCAACAGCAGGUGGAUGGACAAUGAGGAAGAGAGUCAACAAUCAAAAAAGCAAAAAUUUUAAACGGCAUCCUGUCCUUCAAAAGAGGCUGCAGACCAAAUGAUUGAAGACUUGAAGAAGGAUCUGAUGGCAAGACAAAAAGAUUUAGAGUCCCCAACCGAAUAUGAGGAGUUAUCAGAUGACGAGCUGCCAUCCAGGAACUGGAGCAAGGCACAAAGGCAAAUAAAGCCGUUAAUAGCCGAGAAUAAAAGGCUGAAAGAAGACAACUUUAAACACCCAAUAGAAGCAAUGAAAGAGCUUCCAGCAGUCGGGCAGAACUUACGAGACUUAUCUGAGCUAUUGUCAUUGAUCUCAAGCAGUGCAUCUGCCAGAUCAACACUCGUGCAAACACCUGUACGAACACCAGCGAGAUCAGAACUGCAACUUUCUGCACCCGCGUCUCCUCAGGUGGACUCUGCUGACUUGGUGUCUCUUGUGUCAGGAGAGUCAAAGUCCCCAGACAGAAGCUCAACUCUCUGCGGACUUCAAGUCACUCAGUUUACAUCGGAGACCUGGCAGUGCUCGUCUACGGCAGGGAAACGCUGUCCUGUGACCCCCCCCCCACCACCACCACCACCACCACCACCACUACCACACUUCCCACUGUAAGCCGCCGGCUUCAUUUAUGUUGAUUUUAAUUCCCUGUUUUCAUUGGUCUCUUUAUGUCUUGUUUUACCCAUUUGUUUUCUACUUUAAUGUUUUUACCUUUUUUUAUCCUCAUGUACCGUGUUCAGCGCCUUGGGCAACCAACCCCCACCCCACUUCACACUGGUUUACACACUUAUCUGUUAGCGCAGUCAACCGCUCAGCAGACUAUUAACAUUUGACUGUCAAAUUACCUAAAUAAACAUGAUGAAAUGCUAAAGACUGGCUUCUUCAAAAGUUUCUUAUAAGUUCCAAAGUGUGUAAACGGUCUUUCUGCCACCUAGCAUGACAGAACUAAAUCCUGGCUAUUCCAGCUGCAGAAAAUGGAUCUCCUGCUUCUUUCGACUAUUUUAACAGCCAAUCUAAAGACAACUAGGCUACAUCGGAGACCUGGCAGUCCUCGUCUACGGCAGGGAAACGCUGUCUUGUGACCCCCCACCCCCACCCCCACCACCACCACCACCACACUUCCCACUGGUUUACACACUUAUCUGUUAGCCGCCGGCUUCAUUUAUGUUGAUUUUAAUUCCCUGCUUUCAUUGGUCUCUUUAUGUCUUGUUUUACCCAUUUGUUUUCUACUUUAAUGUUUUUACCUUUUAUUUUCUCAUGUACCGUGUUCAGUAAAAAUGAACCACGCAUGCGGACCCCGCCCCCCUCCCCACCCCGCUGGCAGAUCAAAGGCAGUAGGCAUAAUUUCAGCUAGCCAAUCAGUUGGUAGUGUCGCCUCGGUCCCAGUCUGACCGCUGGGGAGGAGGUCUGAAAAAAGAGUUGCCUCGGCACCGAAAACGUGAAUCUGACCUGUGUGCGAAGCCAAAUUCUGGUGCCGUUCGGUAACUUUUGGGGCCGUGCCGACGCUACUGUGUAAGCGCCAUAACAAAGUUUCAUCCAUCCAUCCAUUUUUGGCCACUUAUCCAGGGUCAGGUUGCGGAGACAGUCGCCUAAACAGGGAGGCCAAGACUUUCCUCUCACCAGCCACUUGGGCCAGCUCUUUCGGGGGAAUUCCCAAAGCGUUCCCUUCCCAGCCGAAGAGUCUCUCCUUCGGCUACAUCACACAUUGCACCCAACAUCUUUGGCUCCUUUCACAAGUGGUGAGUCCAAGAAAUGUAUUGAACAGAAAGACAAGCUGAAUUUACGCCCUUCUCUGUUAUUGCAGCCAAACGUGUGAACUUACCUAAACAAAUACGAUGAAAUGCUAAAAACUGGUUUCUUCAUUAGCUUCCCUCCCACCCCCUCGCAAUUUACUAUAGUGGACAGCAAAGCAUGCCCACGAUGAAAAACAAGAUUAUAAACUUCUUUCGACUGUUUUAACAGCCCAUCUAAAGUGCUGUAAAUUAGCUAUGGCUAAAAGCAUCUUGCUACAAACAUGUGAACGUGGUUUUACAAUGUCCAUGUUCCUGUAUCUGUCUCUAAGUACAUGCCAUCAAUGAAUAAUUGUGUUUGAAGGACUGAUUUUAAAAUUUUCGAACCCAGGGUUUAGAAUGCCGGGCGUGAUGCAGAUUUAAGGUAAGUACUUCCUAUGACUUGUAUACCUUAAUUUCAUUGGUAUUCCUUGUAAGUCUAAGCGUGGUUCAUUUUUAACUUCACCCUUAGUUCUCCGAACAACGUUUGUUUGAUAAGUUGACAUGUUUUCUUCCUCUAUGUCAGUCAAUUCCUUUCUCAACGUAUUUUUCGCCGCUGAGUUUUGCUUGAGAGCUGAAAGUCUCGCUUUAUCUAACCGUUUUAACUUUGAGUCUACAUACUCUAUUCUGUCAAUCGCAGAGCAAGACUCCUCCUUAACAUCUAAUGGUAAAUGCCGGUAUUUUGCCAACAAAUAGUCUUGGAACUGAUUCUCUCUCUUUUUCUGUUCCUCUAGGUUUGACGAGCCUUCUUGAUUUGAACACUUCAGGGCUUCCAGUUUGUUAAUUUUUUGUUUAUUUUGUGAGAUAGCACCUAAAAUCCAGUCCUUCUUACGACUAGGCAUUUGGUUUAAUUUCAUAGGAGUUGCUCUUAACUCUAAGGUUGGUACUAAUUUAAUUUUUGAGAGACAGUCAUCUAAAAUCUUCUCCUCCAGGGCUUCGUUUUCAUGUUGUAAUUUGUAAUUUUGCAGGACUUUAUUUUCCUCUUCGAGUUCCCAAAGUAAAUGCCCCUGUUUACUUAAAUUACGCUUAUGGGCUAAAAUUGUAUCUUUGGCAUCUCUAUUUACUAAAAUUAAAUCAAGAUCAUAUUUUUCUAACUCCUCUUCAUAAGUGUCCAGUUGCUCUAAUUUCUCUGCAGCAGAACGCUCAGUCUCUCUUACAAAGCGCUCUUUCAAAUCUUUGAGUUUUUGUUCCACAUUAAAUAAGUUUAUUAACAAUCUCUCCCUUUCUUUCAGUGGUUCUAUAUGAGGAUGAUGUAGGUUUUCCAUGCUACCUGUUUGCUCUGAGGCGUGAACUGUGACUGAUCCGACGCUGGUCAAGGUAUAUGACGAUGUGCGGAUGGAGAGAAAGAAGAAAAAAGAGAUAUAAAGAAUCAGAACAGAGAUAGGAAAGCAACAGAAAAAUAAGUGCAGGCAGACAAGGCAAGUCAAUGACUACGGAGGAGAAUGUGGAGCAGAGAGGUCUACAUGAUGAAGAAGAGGGACAGAAACAGAGAGAUCCACAUGAUGAAGGAGAGAGAGAACAUAGAGGUCUACACAAAGAAGAGGGAGAAGAACAAAGAGGUCAACAUGAUAAAGAGGAAGAGGAACAGAGAAGUGCAGAGGAGAGGGCUGGUGAAAGACCUUAUUUAAAAGAUCCAUCUGAAUGGCCUUCACCACAUGAAAUUGGGGACACAUUGAGGCAGUACAUGGUUCAGAAUGGCCCACCGAAAUGUCCUGGUGGGCCAUAUCCAAGAUCAGAGAAGAGUAAACGGUGUUUUUCCAAAGCACACUGUUUUCGUUUACUGUCCAAUGGAGAGAAAGUGGAACGGGAUUGGUUACUGUACUCCAAAAGUACUAAAAGUCUAUUGUUUUGCUUGUAAGCUUUUUGGUGAAGCUAGAGUUGCUGACACACACCUUGUGACGGGUUAUAACAACUGGCAGUGUCUUUCAAAAACCCUGAUGCACCAUGAAACUAGUGGUUAUCACAUAAAUGCUUAUCUGUGUCACGAUCUGCUCCUGCCUCCCUCUGACUGUGACUCUCCCCUGCCUCCUGUUUAGUUUUUUGGUCUCACCUGCCUUUUGUUAACCUGCCCAUGUGUUCCUGAUUGUUUCCCUGUGUAUUUAUACCUCCCGUCUUGUAUGUGUCAGUGUCGGAUCAUUGUUGUUUGUCGUGUUGUUCUUGUUGUAUCCUGCCGUAUCCUGCUAUUAAAUCCAUUUUUAUGUUA
This is a non-coding RNA of Nothobranchius furzeri (turquoise killifish), 5268 nucleotides long. The record is from RefSeq and is a predicted model, not a curated record. Lineage: Eukaryota; Metazoa; Chordata; Actinopteri; Cyprinodontiformes; Nothobranchiidae.